AACGCCGUCACUGCGUAUCAUCUCGAUUUACAGAUUACUUUGAAUUUAUGCCUCCCUGCGGCUGUCAGGGGAGCAGAUUAUAGCAAGGAAACAAACAGUGAGGGGCGUUCAUUUUCUUCUGACAUUGAGAAAAUACCGAAUCAUUGCGGUUUUUUUUUGUUUUGUUUUUUUUUUUUUGUCCACGAUCAACCCUGCGAGUCCAAUAUUUUCCCAGUGAUUGACACGGUUGUGUAGCUUUCCCUGCUGUUGGCACAUUUUCGACAGGAACGUUCCCAAUUAUCCUCUCAAUUCAGCACAACUGUGAAUCCACCUCGCUGUGACAGAAAACGAGACGAUGUUUCUGCAAUUCAACGCUAGAAGCUGGAAACUGAACGCAAUUUGAGGGCGCUGGCUAGUCAUUCACUUUUAAUGAAGUGAUGCGGUGAAAACAAAUGAGCCUUGGAUGUAUCUGGUUGGGUACCGAUGCAGACUGACAGCCGAGGGAAAGAAAAUGCAGGCGGGGGGAUCAUUACUUGUUUUCAUUUGGCUUCGCAGCACUUCUGCUCCCGACCCAUCGAGGCGCCUGCCCUCGUAACGACCCUGUCACGGAGCUCCGCUCGACUGAUUCAGCGAAGCCAGAAGGCUCAAGGGCGCCAUCUGUUCCGCCGAAGACGCACUGACAACGCUUGUAAUUAACUCAGCACCGAGGAGACGUCCGGGCGCAUCGCUUCGGCCCCCCGUUCCCCUCCGUCAGGCCGUCGUUACGUCUCUUUGGGGUGCUCGGCGUUACGGCUGUUGUGCUUCUUCAGGAGGAUAGUAUUUUGACUUUACUCUAGUUUUAUUACGUAGAGGUUUACU
Long non-coding RNA from Syngnathoides biaculeatus (alligator pipefish), 837 nucleotides. RefSeq lists it as uncharacterized. NCBI's taxonomy places the organism in Eukaryota, Metazoa, Chordata, Actinopteri, Syngnathiformes, Syngnathidae. The transcript is spliced from 2 exons. The record is from RefSeq and is a predicted model, not a curated record.